CGCCCCGUCUGGGAGGUGAGGGGCGCCUUUGCCCAGCCGCCCCUACUGGGUAAUGAGGAGCCCCUCUGCCCGGCCAGCCGCCCCGUCCGGGAGGGAGGUUGGGGGGUCAGCCCCCCGCCCGGCCAGCCGCCCCGUCCGGGAGGUGAGGGGCGCCUCUGCCCCGCCGCCCCUCCUGGGAAGUGAGGAACCCCUCUGCCGGGCCACCACCCCGUCUGGGAGGUGUGCCCAACAGCUCAUUGAGAACGGGCCAGGAUGACAAUGGUGGCUUUGUGGAAUAGAAAGGCGGGAAAGGUGGGGAAAAGAUUGAGAAAUCGGAUGGUUGCCGUGUCUGU
This 332-nucleotide long non-coding RNA is filed under the name Homo sapiens (human). Its description in RNAcentral is "HSALNT0323149". Lineage: Eukaryota; Metazoa; Chordata; Mammalia; Primates; Hominidae. The record is from RNAcentral.